GUUCCAGACUCCUACGGGAGGCAGCAGUGGGGAAUAUUGCACAAUGGGGGGAACCCUGAUGCAGCAACGCCGCGUGGGUGAAGAAGUACUCCGGUAUGUAAAGCCCUGUCAGCAGGGAAGAAAAUGACGGUACCUGACCAAGAAGCCCCGGCUAACUACGUGCCAGCAGCCGCGGUAAUACGUAGGGGGCAAGCGUUAUCCGGAUUUACUGGGUGUAAAGGGAGCGUAGACGGCAGCGCAAGUCUGGAGUGAAAUGCCGGGGCCCAACCCCGGAACUGCCCUGGAAACUGUGAAGCUGGAGUGCAGGAGAGGUAAGCGGAAUUCCUAGUGUAGCGGUGAAAUGCGUAGAUAUUAGGAGGAACACCGGUGGCGAAGGCGGCUUGCUGGACGGUAACUGACGUUGAGGCUCGAAAGCGUGGGGAGCAAACAGGAUUAGAUACCCCGGUAACC
RNAcentral lists this ribosomal RNA (450 nucleotides) under uncultured bacterium. RNAcentral describes it as "bacterial SSU rRNA". It matches the Rfam family "Bacterial small subunit ribosomal RNA", at positions 328 to 795 of the family's 1533-position model. The record is from RNAcentral.